UACGGGGGGGGCAAGCGUUGUUCGGAAUUACGGGGCGUAAAGGGCUCGUAGGCGGCCAACUAAGUCAGACGUGAAAUCCCCAGGCUCAACCUGGGAACUGCGUCUGAUACUGGAUGGCUUGAAUCCGGGAGAGGGAUGCAGAAUUCCAGGUGUAGCGGUGAAAUGCGUAGAUAUCUGGAGGAAUACCGGUGGCGAAGGCGGCAUCCUGGACCGGCAUUGACGCUGAGGAGCGAAAGCCAGGGGAGCAAACGGG
RNAcentral lists this ribosomal RNA (253 nucleotides) under uncultured bacterium. Its description in RNAcentral is "partial 16S ribosomal RNA". It matches the Rfam family "Bacterial small subunit ribosomal RNA", at positions 524 to 776 of the family's 1533-position model. The record is from RNAcentral.